AACUGAACCUUCGGGGAACGUUAACGGCGUCGAGCGGCGGACGGGUGAGUAAUGCCUGGGAAAUUGCCCUGAUGUGGGGGAUAACCAUUGGAAACGAUGGCUAAUACCGCAUAAUAGCUUCGGCUCAAAGAGGGGGACCUUCGGGCCUCUCGCGUCAGGAUAUGCCCAGGUGGGAUUAGCUAGUUGGUGAGGUAAUGGCUCACCAAGGCGACGAUCCCUAGCUGGUCUGAGAGGAUGAUCAGCCACACUGGAACUGAGACACGGUCCAGACUCCUACGGGAGGCAGCAGUGGGGAAUAUUGCACAAUGGGCGCAAGCCUGAUGCAGCCAUGCCGCGUGUAUGAAGAAGGCCUUCGGGUUGUAAAGUACUUUCAGCAGUGAGGAAGGUGGGUAUGUUAAUAGCAUACUCAUUUGACGUUAGCUGCAGAAGAAGCACCGGCUAACUCCGUGCCAGCAGCCGCGGUAAUACGGAGGGUGCGAGCGUUAAUCGGAAUUACUGGGCGUAAAGCGCAUGCAGGUGGUUUGUUAAGUCAGAUGUGAAAGCCCGGGGCUCAACCUCGGAAUUGCAUUUGAAACUGGCAAACUAGAGUACUGUAGAGGGGGGUAGAAUUUC
RNAcentral lists this ribosomal RNA (612 nucleotides) under uncultured Vibrio sp. RNAcentral describes it as "bacterial SSU rRNA". It matches the Rfam family "Bacterial small subunit ribosomal RNA", at positions 65 to 670 of the family's 1533-position model. Lineage: Bacteria; Pseudomonadati; Pseudomonadota; Gammaproteobacteria; Vibrionales; Vibrionaceae. The record is from RNAcentral.